This 745-nucleotide ribosomal RNA is filed under the name uncultured bacterium. RNAcentral describes it as "bacterial SSU rRNA". It matches the Rfam family "Bacterial small subunit ribosomal RNA", at positions 33 to 773 of the family's 1533-position model. The record is from RNAcentral.
ACGCUGGCGGCAGGCCUAACACAUGCAAGUCGAGCGGUAGAGAGAAGCUUGCUUCUCUUGAGAGCGGCGGACGGGUGAGUAAUGCCUAGGAAUCUGCCUGGUAGUGGGGGAUAACGUCCGGAAACGGACGCUAAUACCGCAUACGUCCUACGGGAGAAAGCAGGGAACCUUCGGGCCUUGCGCUAUCAGAUGAGCCUAGGUCGGAUUAGCUAGUUGGUGGGGUAAUGGCUCACCAAGGCGACGAUCCGUAACUGGUCUGAGAGGAUGAUCAGUCACACUGGAACUGAGACACGGUCCAGACUCCUACGGGAGGCAGCAGUGGGGAAUAUUGGACAAUGGGCGAAAGCCUGAUCCAGCCAUGCCGCGUGUGUGAAGAAGGUCUUCGGAUUGUAAAGCACUUUAAGUUGGGAGGAAGGGCAGUAAAUUAAUACUUUGCUGUUUUGACGUUACCGACAGAAUAAGCACCGGCUAACUCUGUGCCAGCAGCCGCGGUAAUACAGAGGGUGCAAGCGUUAAUCGGAAUUACUGGGCGUAAAGCGCGCGUAGGUGGUUCGUUAAGUUGGAUGUGAAAUCCCCGGGCUCAACCUGGGAACUGCAUUCAAAACUGACGAGCUAGAGUAUGGUAGAGGGUGGUGGAAUUUCCUGUGUAGCGGUGAAAUGCGUAGAUAUAGGAAGGAACACCAGUGGCGAAGGCGACCACCUGGACUGAUACUGACACUGAGGUGCGAAAGCGUGGGGAGCAAAC